AGGGAAUCAUUGGAUUCGACAUGACUCAGAGGCAUAGGUGUCCUUCAGUUGGAUUGUGAGAAAGAACCACAAAUAAAAGAAUCUCAUCCAGC
Non-coding RNA from Pantherophis guttatus, 92 nucleotides. The record is from RefSeq and is a predicted model, not a curated record. NCBI's taxonomy places the organism in Eukaryota, Metazoa, Chordata, Lepidosauria, Squamata, Colubridae.